Molecule: non-coding RNA, 26 nt
Filed under: Mus musculus (house mouse)
Lineage: Eukaryota; Metazoa; Chordata; Mammalia; Rodentia; Muridae
Source: RNAcentral
UAGUGUUGUGAAAAACUUGCCCGUAC